Molecule: transfer RNA, 73 nt
Organism: Oceanicaulis alexandrii
Lineage: Bacteria; Pseudomonadati; Pseudomonadota; Alphaproteobacteria; Maricaulales; Maricaulaceae
Rfam family: tRNA
About the family: Transfer RNA (tRNA) molecules are approximately 80 nucleotides in length. Their secondary structure includes four short double-helical elements and three loops (D, anti-codon, and T loops). Further hydrogen bonds mediate the characteristic L-shaped molecular structure. tRNAs have two regions of fundamental functional importance: the anti-codon, which is responsible for specific mRNA codon recognition, and the 3' end, to which the tRNAs corresponding amino acid is attached (by aminoacyl-tRNA synthetases). tRNAs cope with the degeneracy of the genetic code in two manners: having more than one tRNA (with a specific anti-codon) for a particular amino acid; and 'wobble' base-pairing, i.e. permitting non-standard base-pairing at the 3rd anti-codon position.
Source: Rfam
GGGGCCGUAGCUCAGUUGGGAGAGCGCGUCGUUCGCAAUGACGAGGUCAGGGGUUCGAUUCCCCUCGGCUCCA